Molecule: long non-coding RNA, 394 nt
Filed under: Mus spretus (western wild mouse)
Lineage: Eukaryota; Metazoa; Chordata; Mammalia; Rodentia; Muridae
Description: predicted gene 11646 (ENSMSPG00010039183.1)
Source: RNAcentral
AUGGCGGAGGUCAAACAUUCUCACAGACCCAUCAGCGCCCACAGAGGCAAACAUGUCCCUGCCCCCUCCAGCCCGGCUGAAGGCGAUGUCAUAGACCUGUUGGGGAGAAGGUCCAGAUUCAGCUCACAGCGUGGACAGCUGUCAUUUCCAGACCAUCUGAACCCCAACUCACCACACAAGCAGAGGGCAACUGGAGGUAUGGCUUGGUGUUUAAGAGUACUUGUUGCUCUUGUUGAAGACCCAGGUUCAGCUACGAGUGAUCUGUAACUCUGGAAUGGAGGAUGACACCCCCUUCUGGCCUUCUCAUACUAUACACACAUGUGGUACAAGGACAUACAUACAGGCAAACACCCAUACACAUAAAGUAAAAAUAAAUAAAUCUUAAAAAAUAAAA